RNAcentral lists this ribosomal RNA (88 nucleotides) under Aeromonas caviae. RNAcentral describes it as "partial 23S ribosomal RNA". It matches the Rfam family "Bacterial large subunit ribosomal RNA", at positions 2838 to 2925 of the family's 2925-position model. Lineage: Bacteria; Pseudomonadati; Pseudomonadota; Gammaproteobacteria; Aeromonadales; Aeromonadaceae. The record is from RNAcentral.
UUGGAGACCACAACGUUGAUAGGUGGGGUGUGUAAGCGUAGCGAUACGUUGAGCUAACCCAUACUAAUUACCCGUGAGGCUUAACCAU